RNAcentral lists this ribosomal RNA (466 nucleotides) under uncultured Sinobacteraceae bacterium. Its description in RNAcentral is "bacterial SSU rRNA". It matches the Rfam family "Bacterial small subunit ribosomal RNA", at positions 338 to 796 of the family's 1533-position model. Lineage: Bacteria; Pseudomonadati; Pseudomonadota; Gammaproteobacteria; Nevskiales; Nevskiaceae. The record is from RNAcentral.
CCUACGGGGGGCUGCAGUGGGGAAUAUUGGACAAUGGGGGAAACCCUGAUCCAGCGACGCCGCGUGGGUGAAGAAGGCCUGCGGGUUGUAAAGCCCUUUCGGUAGGGACGAAAGCUCUCGACCUAACACGUCGGGAGGUUGACUUAACCUACAGAAGAAGCACCGGCUAACUCUGUGCCAGCAGCCGCGGUAAUACAGAGGGUGCGAGCGUUAAUCGGAAUUACUGGGCGUAAAGCGCACGUAGGCGGCUUGGUAUGUCGGGUGUGAAAUCCCCGGGCUCAACCUGGGAACUGCAUCCGAAACUGCCUUGCUCGAGUAUGGGAGAGGGAAGCGGAAUUUCCGGUGUAGCGGUGAAAUGCGUAGAUAUCGGAAGGAACAUCAGUGGCGAAGGCGGCUUCCUGGACCAAUACUGACGCUCAGGUGCGAAAGCGUGGGGAGCAAACAGGAUUAGAUACCCCAGUAGUCC